This 252-nucleotide ribosomal RNA is filed under the name uncultured bacterium. RNAcentral describes it as "partial 16S ribosomal RNA". It matches the Rfam family "Bacterial small subunit ribosomal RNA", at positions 524 to 776 of the family's 1533-position model. The record is from RNAcentral.
UACGUAGGGGGCAAGCGUUGUCCGGAUUUAUUGGGCGUAAAGAGCGUGUAGGCGGUUUGGUAGGUCCGCUGUGAAAACUCGAGGCUCACCUCGAGACGCCGGUGGAAACCAUCAGACUAGAGUCCGGAAGAGGAGAGUGGAAUUCCUGGUGUAGCGGUGAAAUGCGCAGAUAUCAGGAAGAACACCCGUGGCUAAGGCGGCUCUCUAGUACGGUACUGACGCUGAGACGCGAAAGCGUGGGGAGCGAACAGG